RNAcentral lists this ribosomal RNA (730 nucleotides) under uncultured bacterium. RNAcentral describes it as "bacterial SSU rRNA". It matches the Rfam family "Bacterial small subunit ribosomal RNA", at positions 8 to 796 of the family's 1533-position model. The record is from RNAcentral.
AGAGUUUGAUCAUGGCUCAGGNNNNNCUGGCGGCAGGCUUAACACAUCAAGUCUAACGGACGCAGCAAUGCGUCAGUGGCAGACGGGUGAGUAACACGUGGGAACGUNNCUUCGGUUCGGACAACCCAGGGAAACUUGGGCUAAUCCGGAUACGUCCGCAAGGAGAAAUUAUCNNCGAAGGAUCGGCCCGCGUCUGAUUAGCUUGUUGGUGAGGUAAUGGCUCACCAAGGCGCGAUCCGUAGCUGGUCUGAGAGGAUNNCCCAGCCUCACUGGGGACUGAGCACGGCCAGACUCUACGGGAGGCAGCAGUGGGGAAUAUGGACAAUGGGGCAAGCCUGAUCCANNCAUGCCGCGUGGAUGAUGAAGGCCCUAGGGUUGUAAAGUCCUUUUAACGGGGAAGAUAAUGACGGUACCCGUAGAAUAAGCCCCGGCUAACUUCGUGCCAGCAGCCGCGGUAAUACGAAGGGGGCUAGCGUUGCUCGGAAUUACUGGGCGUAAAGCGCACGUAGGCGGGUUGUUAAGUUGGGGGUGAAAUCCUGGAGCUCAACUCCAGAACUGCCUCCAAAACUGGCGAUCUUGAGUUCGGGAGAGGUGAGUGGAACUGCGAGUGUAGAGGUGAAAUUCGUAGAUAUUCGCAAGAACACCAGUGGCGAAGGCGGCUCACUGGCCCGAUCUGACGCUGAGGUGCGAAAGCGUGGGGAGCAAACAGGAUUAGAUACCCUAGUAGUCC